AUGGCUCAGGAUGAACGCUGGCGGCGUGCAUAACACAUUCAAGUCGAACGGAGUUACGGGACGGAAGUCUUCGGAUGGAAGGCCCGCAACUUAGUGGCGGACGGGUGAGUAACGCGUGAGCAACCUGCCCCUAUGUCGGGGAUAACGACCGGAAACAGUCGCUAAUACCGGAUGAAACAUCGACCGCGCAUGAGGAUGAUGUCAAAGAUUUAUUGCAUAGGGAUGGGCUCGCGUCUGAUUAGGCAGUUGGAGAGGUAACGGCUCACCAAACCUACGAUCAGUAGCCGGACUGAGAGGUUGAACGGCCACAUUGGAACUGAGAAACGGUCCAGACUCCUACGGGAGGCAGCAGUGGGGAAUAUUGGGCAAUGGGCGAAAGCCCUGACCCAGCGACGCCGCGUGAGGGAAGACGGUCUUCGGACUGUAAACCUCUGUUGUAAAGGACGAAGCAAGUGACGGUACUUUACGAGGAAGCCACGGCUAACUACGUGCCAGCCGCAGC
This 502-nucleotide ribosomal RNA is filed under the name uncultured bacterium. RNAcentral's name for it is "bacterial SSU rRNA". It matches the Rfam family "Bacterial small subunit ribosomal RNA", at positions 19 to 518 of the family's 1533-position model. The record is from RNAcentral.